CCGAUUACAAUUACGAUGAAAAAAAUUAGUCAUGAUUACGAUUAACGUUCGAUUACUUGCACACGUCUAGUUUUUUCAUGUAGAAAAGAAUAAACCAAAAACCUGUAAAGUGUUCUGUUGUAAAGAGUCAAGUUUAUUUAUUUUAAUAUUUGUAUAAACUUUAAAAUCAUUACCAGGACUUAAUCUUGUCAAUCGAAUUUAAGGCUUUUCAAACCUUUCUGUAUCCAUUUAAUACACCAUAGCAGUAUGUCUAAAAAUAAAAAAGUACUCCUGUCAUUUCUCGCUGUCGUCAAUAUGAAACUGAAGGAAUUUUCUCUGUAUUUUUUGACUAAUUUUUUCUUUCAAAUUUGCAGGGUGGCCGUCAGAUAAAGAUCAGGAAGCAGGCUCAAAGCAAAGUGUCUCUCCUUUAGAAUUACCCGCUCCAGAGCGACUUUUGCCUAUCGGUGCUGCGCCAGUGAAUAGAGAAGGCAUGGUAUCUCUUGUGCGCCAUGUGAGCAAUGUUCUAGGGAUAUCCAACUCAAACGACUCUAAAACAUCAGAUGCUAGCCUGUCUGGCACUAUCAGUGAAUCGCUAUCUACCUCUCCUCUUCCUAAACAAGAUAGUUUAGACAAGCCGAUCAGUCAGAGCAGCACCAGUGUAAGUCCUCGCCGGCUAAUCAAACAAGUAGCUCUGGAGUCACCGCCACCCCAACUUCAAGACUCUGUAUUUUCUUCUGUGUUUAGGUCAGAGGAUUCCAAAAAUUAUCGCCAACCAUUACGAAAAUCAACCAGCCCGCAUUCCUUGUCUGCUGAGCAUUCCAAACGUCCUGAAGCAUGGUAAUUGUGCCUAAAAUUUUAAAAAUUUGAUACCUAGUAUAUCAAUAUAAUAAUUUUAUACCUCCAUACUCAAACUUACUUUAAAUAUUAAGAUUGUGGGUCACUCUAGAAAAUUGAGAAAAUCAUGCCAAAAUCAAGAUAUUUAUUUUCAACUUAAUUUUUCUUAUGAUGCUUUAUAUGACUUACUUUUUUGGUGGAAAAAGUCAGGAUGGUAACGGGAAAUUUAAAUUUAAAAAAAUGAAAUGAAAUGGAGGAAAUUUUUCCCAAAUCCCAAGGAAACAUACAGAUAUUUUUGUCCUUGCGACCUGUUCCUCCUGAGAUAAAAUUCUAUUUUAAUGAGGGAAAGGAUUCCAAAAAAAUUAUAUGUGAUCUUUAAUAAUAUUGGAUUUUUUUUGUCAUUUACAUUUUGAAUAUUUCUUAUUUUAUAAUAGGAAUCAAAGAAAUCACACCCCCCUCGAUCCUGCUGUACAAUUUGCUUGUCAUGCUGCUACAGAUUUAAAAUUAAGUGCCUCCCGCACUGGUGAUGAAUGUGUCAUCAACAGGUAUAAUUUGCACCUUACUUUUAUGCAAAUGUUAGUUUUAUUUUCAUAGUUAGUUCGAUUCUUUCAUCAAUCAUAGUUAUGGUGCAAUAAUUUCGCUGGGAGCAAAGAAAGCGCCUCCUCCGCUUCAGGCACAGUUUUGAAAUAGCACCACUGCUAUUCCAUUUUGGUUAGAUGUAAAAAAUGAGCUCCACUUCUUGCCACAAGAGAAUUUCAACUCUUCAGUCGCUAUUAGACCUUUGUCACAAGGGUAUCGAAUUCUUGGGAUUGGAAUUGGUUCCAAAUGAUUGUAUAUUUUUAACUAUUUUUGAUUCAUACUUACGCAACACAACGAUUAUAACUGCAGAUUCAUACAACAAUCUUAGAGGGUUCAACAGCUGUGAUAGAACUUUUUCUCAUUGUGAACUUUUUUCAGUCAGUUGGAGGUUGGACCUCAUUUCCAAAAGGUGAGAUUUUGUCAUUGUUAGGAUCCAAUUUUUUGUACAAGAAGUUCUAAUGACGUGAUUAGUAGCAUUUGUCGAGAAACCCAUGAGUUAGGCUUCCAUAAGUUACUUUUUUA
Molecule: long non-coding RNA, 1914 nt
Filed under: Bemisia tabaci
Lineage: Eukaryota; Metazoa; Arthropoda; Insecta; Hemiptera; Aleyrodidae
Description: lncRNA ENSSWEETPG008816
Source: RNAcentral